CCCGCUGAACUUAAGCAUAUCAGUAAGCGGAGGAAGAGAAACCAACAGGGGAUUCCCGUAGUAACGGCGAGUGAACUGGGAUCAGUCCAGCGCUGAAUCUCCUUGCCUUGUGCUUGGCGAACUGUAGCGUAUAGGUUGGUGCAAUCUCUCCAUUUGGUGUCGGCUGAAGUUUUCCUUGAAUGGAAUUCCAUAGAAGGUGUAAGGCCUGUUCAGUUUGGUGCCUUUUGGGGAAGCAUUGAUCUUGGAGUCGGGUUGCUUGGGAACGCAGCUCAAAGCAGGCGGUUUACUUCACCUAAGACUAAAUAUGUCCACGAGUCCGAUAGCAAAUAAGUACCGUGAGGGAAAGUUGCAAAGUACUUUGAAGAGAGAGUUAACAGCACGUGAAACCGGUGGGGUGGAAACGGACAGGGCCGAUGUUCUUACCCGCAUUCAGCAGAUCGCUGGUUGGUUCCAGUAACGUGUUCUGUUCGAACUGCGUGAACGCCCAGCAAACAUUGGUUUGUGCACUUGCAGGCAGAGAGCGCUGAGAGGCGUUCCGCGGUGAUCGUUGGAGACUUGUCUAAUGGGCACUCAGGUGUUCCAAUUCAUUUCAACGGCUUUCACAUGGGCGUCAUCAUUGUGGAAGGUUCGACACCGAUCGCUUGUUGCUCACUUUCAGUUGCAUAUGUGAAUGCAUGCAUUUGCUUUGCUUCUGUUACGAUGGCAUUCGGUCAGUCUUGCUUUUCUCUCGGCGUUAAGUUGGUCACCUAUCCGACCCGUCUUGAAACACGG
This 771-nucleotide ribosomal RNA is filed under the name uncultured fungus. Its description in RNAcentral is "eukaryotic LSU rRNA". It matches the Rfam family "Eukaryotic large subunit ribosomal RNA", at positions 24 to 664 of the family's 3401-position model. The record is from RNAcentral. Lineage: Eukaryota; Fungi.